GAAGAAAUAGUUUAAUUAAAACAUUGAAUUGUGGAGUCAAAAAUGAUCUUCUUCA
This 55-nucleotide transfer RNA is filed under the name Ricinus sp. ADS-2020. RNAcentral's name for it is "tRNA-His". Lineage: Eukaryota; Metazoa; Arthropoda; Insecta; Psocodea; Ricinidae. The record is from RNAcentral.